RNAcentral lists this ribosomal RNA (485 nucleotides) under uncultured bacterium. RNAcentral's name for it is "bacterial SSU rRNA". It matches the Rfam family "Bacterial small subunit ribosomal RNA", at positions 19 to 518 of the family's 1533-position model. The record is from RNAcentral.
AUGGCUCAGGACGAACGCUGGCGGCACGCUUAACACAUGCAAGUCGAACGGAGUUAUCGAGAGCUUGCUUUGAUAACUUAGUGGCGGACGGGUGAGUAACACGUGAGCAAUCUGCCCUUAAGAGGGGGAUAGCAGUUGGAAACGACUGAUAAUACCGCAUAAGAUAGUAGUACCGCAUGGUACAGCUAUAAAAGAUUUAUCGCUUAAGGAUGAGCUCGCGUCUGAUUAGCUAGUUGGUGAGGUAACGGCUCACCAAGGCAACGAUCAGUAGCCGGACUGAGAGGUUGGACGGCCACAUUGGGACUGAGACACGGCCCAGACUCCCACGGGAGGCAGCAGUGGGGAAUAUUGCACAAUGGAGGAAACUCUGAUGCAGCGAUGCCGCGUGAGGGAAGAAGGUUUUAGGAUUGUAAACCUCUGUUGACAGGGACGAUAAUGACGGUACCUGUUGAGGAAGCUCCGGCUAACUACGUGCCAGCCGCUGC